RNAcentral lists this ribosomal RNA (462 nucleotides) under uncultured bacterium. RNAcentral describes it as "partial 16S ribosomal RNA". It matches the Rfam family "Bacterial small subunit ribosomal RNA", at positions 28 to 507 of the family's 1533-position model. The record is from RNAcentral.
GAUAAACGCUGGCGGCGUGCUUAACACAUGCAAGUCGAACGAAGUUUUUCCUUCGGGAGAAACUUAGUGGCGGACGGGUGAGUAACGCGUGGGUAGCCUGCCCUGUACAGGGGGACAACAGCUGUAAACGGCUGCUAAUACCGCAUAAGCCCUUAGCACUGCAUGGUGCAUAGGGAAAAGGAGCAAUCCGGUACAGGAUGGACCCGCGUCUGAUUAGCCAGUUGGCAGGGUAACGGCCUACCAAAGCGACGAUCAGUAGCCGAUCUGAGAGGAUGUACGGCCACAUUGGGACUGAGACACGGCCCAGACUCCUACGGGAGGCAGCAGUGGGGAAUAUUGCACAAUGGAGGAAACUCUGAUGCAGCGACGCCGCGUGAGUGAAGAAGUAUUUCGGUAUGUAAAGCUCUAUCAGCAGGGAAGAAAAUGACGGUACCUGACGAAGAAGCACCGGCUAAAUACGUG